AUUGAACGCUGGCGGCAGGCCUAACACAUGCAAGUCGAGCGGUAACAGGAAGCAGCUUGCUGCUUCGCUGACGAGUGGCGGACGGGUGAGUAAUGUCUGGGAAACUGCCUGAUGGAGGGGGAUAACUACUGGAAACGGUAGCUAAUACCGCAUAACGUCGCAAGACCAAAGAGGGGGACCUUAGGGCCUCUUGCCAUCGGAUGUGCCCAGAUGGGAUUAGCUAGUAGGUGGGGUAGCGGCUCACCUAGGCGACGAUCCCUAGCUGGUCUGAGAGGAUGACCAGCCACACUGGAACUGAGACACGGUCCAGACUCCUACGGGAGGCAGCAGUGGGGAAUAUUGCACAAUGGGCGCAAGCCUGAUGCAGCCAUGCCGCGUGUAUGAAGAAGGCCUUCGGGUUGUAAAGUACUUUCAGCGGGGAGGAAGGGAGUAAAGUUAAUACCUUUGCUCAUUGACGUUACCCGCAGAAGAAGCACCGGCUAACUCCGUG
RNAcentral lists this ribosomal RNA (490 nucleotides) under uncultured bacterium. RNAcentral describes it as "partial 16S ribosomal RNA". It matches the Rfam family "Bacterial small subunit ribosomal RNA", at positions 30 to 507 of the family's 1533-position model. The record is from RNAcentral.